ACUACAGAAGCUAAACAGGACAGCACUAGCCUUUUAAGCUAGAAAAGAGAAAUUCACCACCUCUCCUUAGUG
Molecule: transfer RNA, 72 nt
Filed under: Chitra indica
Lineage: Eukaryota; Metazoa; Chordata; Testudines; Trionychidae
Description: tRNA-Lys
Source: RNAcentral